GGCAACUGCUCCAGAGAAACGAUUGAUUCGAAAUUUGUUUAAUUUUCAAUAAACAUUGCAGUAAAUUGAUUGCUCGCGCCAUAAAUUAUAAUUUUCCAAAAUAUCUACGCAGUGCGCGAUAACUGCAUCAGUACAGAGCGCCUCCGAGUUUCGCCGCGUGGUGCGCGCGUGUUGCUCUAGUCAAAUAUAAAUUUCCGACUCGCGCGUAUCUCUACGUACAACAUGGACGCGCGAUCUUGACCAGGUUAGUCGCGCCGCGUAGCACGGGAUAUCGUGUGCCCCUUGAACCCAAUAUACAAGAGCGAAGCGCCUUGGUCCUCCUCGAGGAAGCGGAAGGUCCCGGAGUCCAGUUCCAUGAAGUUUGCCAGGAGGCAGUCGGAUGGUGAAAGAGGUUGGAUCGGAAAUAGGAGGGCCACGGCUGUAUCUCUGCGCGUCGUUGCAUCGCUGCAUCACCUUUUGCUCAUCCGAACCAUACCGUCACGGGAGCUUCUAGGGUUUCAAGCACUGCUCGCUCGUCGGUACGGAACGGAACAGAAUUAGAGAGCUUCGGCUUCUCUUCCUUGUCCUCUUGAAAUCCUUCUGCUCCGUGUUUCGUGUCCCACGCGGUACAGUGUGACACGUGCACGUGCAAAGGGGAUGCACUGUUCAGCGUAGCGCCAAGGCCCACCGCGAACCGAUGCGCCACGAUAGACUUUCAAAGACGAGCAAAAUAUACACGAAGCUUCGCGGGAGAAGCGUCUCAAGAAUUGGACAGCACUUUUGUGACGUCAGCGACGUGCACGAUCAAACUUCAUCAAGGUCGCGUCCGACGGUCCGAGUGUCCUUGGUCUUCGAACGAGUGAAGGGAGAAAAGAAAGAGGACGAUGCCAAGAGUAUCCGGUGCCGUGUCGCUGCUCUCGGGUGCCCUGGGACUCGCUGGUCCGGUCCUCAGCGAAAGCGGCGAGGUAGUCGGGGGUCUGCUGUUGGUAUCCCUGGAAGAUACCACGGACGAGACAUUGAUGGGUGGUG
Molecule: long non-coding RNA, 1008 nt
Organism: Cephus cinctus (wheat stem sawfly)
Lineage: Eukaryota; Metazoa; Arthropoda; Insecta; Hymenoptera; Cephidae
Exons: 4
Source: RefSeq, a predicted model, not a curated record